AACGCGUAUGUAAUCUGCCUAUUGCAGGAGGAUAGCCUGAGGAAACUCUGAUUAAUACUCCAUAAUAUGUUUAUCUUGCAUGAGAUAAACAUCAAAGUCUAGUCGGCAAUAGAUGAGCGUGCGUCCGAUUUAUGCUAGUUGGUAGGAUAAUAGCCUACCAAGGCUACAAUUCGGUAGGGGACCUGAGAGGGUAAACCCCCACACUGGUACUGAGAACGGACCAGACUCUAACGGGAGGCAGCAGUGAGGAAUAUUGGUCAAUGGAGGAAACUCUGAACCAGCUACGCCGCGUGCAGGAAGAAGGCCUGAUUGGUCGUAAACUGCUUUUGUAGGGGAAUAAAGGAUUCUACAUUGAGGAUUUUGAAUGUACUCUACGAAUAAGUAUCGGCAAACUCUGUGCCAGCAGCCGCGGUAAUACAGAGGAUACAAGCGUUAUCCGGAUUUAUUGGGUUUAAAGGGUGCGUAGCUGUUCAUUAAGUCAGUAGUGAAAUCUUGCAGCUUAACUGUUAAAAUUGCUAUUGAUACUGAUGGACUGGAAUUAUAUCGGAGUAGCUGGAAUAUGUGGUGUAGCGGUGAAAUGCAUAGAGAUCACAUAGAACACCAAUCGCGAAGGCAAGCUACUAGGUCUAUAUUGACGCUGAGGCACGAAAGCGUGGGGAGCAAACAGGAUUAGAUACCCUGGUAGUCUACGCUGUAAACGAUGAUCACUAACUAUUGGAUCUUCAGUGUAUUCAGUGGUAAAGCGAAAGUGUUAAGUGAUCCACCUGGGAAGUACGAUCGCAAGAUUGAAACUCAAAGGAAUUGACGGGGGCUCGUACAAGCGGUGGAGUAUGUGGUUUAAUUCGAUGUUACGCGAGGAACCUUACCAAAGCUUAAAUGCGUUACGAAAUAAACUAGAAAUAGUUUGCUUCUUUAGGACGGAACGCAAGGUGUUGCAUGGUUGUCGUCAGCUCGUGCUGUGAAGUGUUAGGUUAAGUCCUUUAACGAGCGUAACCCCUGUCGUUAGUUACUAUCAGGUUCAGGUAAUGCUGGGGACUCUAACGAGACUGCCGGCGUAAGUUGUGAGGAAGGUGGGGAUUACGUCAAAUCAUUACGACUCUUAUGCCUUGGGCUACACACGUACUACAAUGAUCGGUACAAUAAGCUGCCACUGAGUGAUCAGGAGCUAAUCUCUAAAAGCCGAUCUCAGUUCGGAUUGGAGUCUGCAACUCGACUCUAUGAAGUUGGAAUCGCUAGUAAUCGUGUAUCAGCCAUGACGCGGUGAAUAUGUUCUCGGGCCUUGUACACACCGCCCGUCAAGCCAUGGAAAUCGGGGAUACUUGAAGUCGGUGUCCGUAAA
RNAcentral lists this ribosomal RNA (1339 nucleotides) under Candidatus Spencerbrownia rhizoecinicola. Its description in RNAcentral is "bacterial SSU rRNA". It matches the Rfam family "Bacterial small subunit ribosomal RNA", at positions 112 to 1440 of the family's 1533-position model. Lineage: Bacteria; Pseudomonadati; Bacteroidota; Flavobacteriia; Flavobacteriales; Blattabacteriaceae. The record is from RNAcentral.